RNAcentral lists this ribosomal RNA (497 nucleotides) under uncultured bacterium. Its description in RNAcentral is "partial 16S ribosomal RNA". It matches the Rfam family "Bacterial small subunit ribosomal RNA", at positions 28 to 507 of the family's 1533-position model. The record is from RNAcentral.
GAUGAACGCUGGCGGCGUGCUUAAUACAUGCAAGUCGAGCGAAAGGACGCGAAGCUUGCUUCUCUGUUGUUAGCGGCGGACGGGAGAGAAACACGUGGAUAAUCUACCUAACUGACUGGGAUCAUCUCGGGACACCGGAGCAUACACCGGAUAAUCUUCUGAACCGUAUGGUUCAAAAGUGAAAGUCGGUCUUGCUGUCACUUAUCGAUGGAUCCGCGCUGCAUUAGCUAGUUGGUAAGGUAACGGCUUACCAAGGCAACGAGGCAUAGCCGACCGGAGAGGGGGGUCGGCCACAUUAGAACUGGAACGCGGACAAUACGACUACGGGAGGCAGCAGUAGGGUAUCUUCCGCAGUAGGCGAAAGCCUGGCGGAGUGACGCCGCGUGAGUGAUGGAGAUCUUCCGAUCGUGAUACUCUGUUAUUAGUUGUGAACAGAUGUGUAAGUAGCUGUGCACAUCUUGACGGUACCUAAUCAGAAAGCCACGGCUAACUACGUG